RNAcentral lists this long non-coding RNA (474 nucleotides) under Vigna radiata. Its description in RNAcentral is "long non-coding RNA (VRAD_LNC015071)". Lineage: Eukaryota; Viridiplantae; Streptophyta; Magnoliopsida; Fabales; Fabaceae. The record is from RNAcentral.
UUUUGUGAAUUUCAAUAUGUAAAAUUGUAUCUUUUCUUGGCAUUUUGGAUGACUUAUAACAUUGCUUGCAAAGUAUGGGAAAUGAAAAACUCAUACACUUUGAUAUUGACAAAACUGGAAUAGGGCACAGUUGGUUUGACCGUGGAUCAAAACCACAUAUUUAAUAUUUAAAAUUUUGAGUUAUCUUUCCCACAAAAGCAUCUAAUAAAUCUAUUUCUGUGUGGCUGAAGCCUUGCUUCUUGCAGCAUGUCUAUAAUUUAUUUUUUAAAGAACUGUACAUCCACUCUUUCCAGGCCCACUUUCCACUUCUUCAUCAUCUAGAUCAUUCCUUUUCCUUUAAUUCUUUAAUUUCUCCAAUUCUUUAUUCUGUACAUCCACUCUUCCCAGACCCACGUUCCACUUCUACUUCAUCUAGAUUUUUCCUUUUCCUUUCAUUCUUUUAUUUUGUUACCUUCUUCCAUCUUUCAACACAUC